RNAcentral lists this ribosomal RNA (481 nucleotides) under uncultured bacterium. RNAcentral's name for it is "partial 16S ribosomal RNA". It matches the Rfam family "Bacterial small subunit ribosomal RNA", at positions 28 to 523 of the family's 1533-position model. The record is from RNAcentral.
GACGAAUGCUGGCUGCGUGCUUAACACAUGCAAGUCGAACGGUGAAGGGGAGCUUGCUCCCCGGAUCAGUGGCGAACGGGUGAGUAACACGUGGGCAACCUGCCCCUCACUCUGGGAUAACUCCGGGAAACCGGGGCUAAUACCGGAUACGACCGGGAGCGACAUCGCUCCUGGUGGAAAGAACUUCGGUGAGGGAUGGGCCCGCGGCCUAUCAGCUAGUUGGUGGGGUAACGGCACACCAAGGCGACGACGGGUAGCCGGCCUGAGAGGGCGACCGGCCGCACUGGGACUGAGACACGGCCCAGACUCCUACGGGAGGGAGCAGUGGGGAAUAUUGCGCAAUGGGCGAAAGCCUGACGCAGCGACGCAGCGUGAGGGACGAAGGCCUUCGGGUUGUAAACCUCUUUCAGCGGGGACGAAGCGAAAGUGACGGUACCCGCAGAAGAAGCACCGGCUAACUACGUGCCAGCAGCCGCCGUAA